ACUGCACAUGGUUAGAGCUUAGAGCUGAGGCCAUUGGCUGGCCAAUGACUCACAAGUGUAAGUAGGUGGACCAUAAGACGGGCAAGUCUUUUGCUAACACCACAACGGUCUUUGGCCCAAUGAGUGGAGUUUGAUAGUAAUUCUUACUAGAGUU
This is a small nucleolar RNA of Neomonachus schauinslandi (Hawaiian monk seal), 154 nucleotides long. Lineage: Eukaryota; Metazoa; Chordata; Mammalia; Carnivora; Phocidae. The record is from RefSeq and is a predicted model, not a curated record.